UACAGAGGUCUCAAGCGUUGUUCGGAUUCAUUGGGCGUAAAGGGUGCGUAGGCGGCGCGGUAAGUCGGGUGUGAAAUCUCGGAGCUUAACUCCGGAACUGCAUUCGAUACUGCCGUGCUUGAGGACUGGAGAGGAGACUGGAAUUUACGGUGUAGCGGUGAAAUGCGUAGAUAUCGUAAGGAAGACCAGUGGCGAAGGCGGGUCUCUGGACCGGUUCUGACGCUGAGGCGCGAAAGCGUGGGUAGCAAACAGG
Molecule: ribosomal RNA, 253 nt
Filed under: uncultured bacterium
Lineage: Bacteria
Description: partial 16S ribosomal RNA
Rfam family: Bacterial small subunit ribosomal RNA
Source: RNAcentral